GCAUCCAAACCCAAAGAGGCAAAGAAGUAACGGCCCCAGCGGUCCAGCACCCUGUGCUCCCCUUUCCCACCACCACUUCCCCUUCCUCCGCGGGCACAGCAGCCAUGGCCGCCUCCAGCGACCUCCUCGACGUCGACCCGCCCGAGCUCCAGUUCCCCUUCGAGCUCGACAAGCAGAUCUCCUGCCCCCUCAAGAUGAUCAAUAAGACCGACAGAACCGUCGCCUUCAAGGUUAAGACGACGAGCCCCAAGAAGUACUGCGUGCGCCCCAACAAUGGCGUCGUGCGGCCGCGGUCCACCUGCGAAGUUGUAGUGACGAUGCAAGCCCAGAUUGUUGCACCACCAGACUUGCAGUGCAAGGACAAAUUCUUGGUGCAAAGCGUGGUCGUCGCCGAUCGCUUAUCGGCCAAGGACAUCACCGCUCAAAUGUUCACGAAACAAGGGGGUAACGCUGUUAGGGAGGUGAGGAUGAGGGUCACUUAUGUGAUGCCAACCGAAUCGUCGUUAGAGAUUGCGGAGGAAAGCGAUGGGCGCCAGCGUAUCUUGGUGCCUAUGCAGCGAAUUGUGGAUCAUGGGAGGAGCGCUUCGGGGCUGUCGAGUGGCUCGGUAUCCUUGAGAUCAGCUGAGCUGGGGACAGAGGUGGGAUCACCUACUGGACCAGUUGUAAGGACUGAAGAAUUACUGAAGGCUGCAGGACAUGCUGCUGAAACAAGAACAUAUGCAGGGCCUGAUGCACAGUCCCUUGAGGUGUGUUCUUUUGCCUUCCAAAGCAGUUUGGCAGUUCUUGUGUUCCCUAGUAGUUGUUCUGUAUGCUAUACUAACAGCCUGGUCACAUGGCAAGUAAAAUACUGAAGAUACUUAUUUGAAACAUUUUGAUCCUUGCCAAUUCUACCCUGCUCUAUAGCUUGUUAAUCGUUAGGAACAAUUGUGUAAUAAUAUGUUUCCUCUACUAAGAAUAAGGCAUAUGAUCGGUUUUUAGUUGCUUCAUAUAGGAAUUAUAUGAUUAAGUGUAUUUAUGAUUUUUUUUAACUGUGCACACAUGGGUAUUGUUGUCCAUCCAUUUAAUUUGCUUUAGAUCUUAUUGUCUUGGCCAUCCUUCUAGUUCACCAUAGACAUCAUACAGCUGGCAUUGGUUGCAUGAACAUCUUAUAUUUAACUUGUUUUUAGUGUGAACUAGUGAUUGUCCCAGCCUUCCUGGUAUCAUGUUGUUCAAUGAGAAGCUGUCGGCUUUAAUUACAAAAUUAACCAAGGAAAAGGAUUCUGCCCUUGAGCAAA
This is an RNA transcript of Triticum dicoccoides, 1274 nucleotides long. It is a transcript of the gene named vesicle-associated protein 1-2-like, with no coding region annotated. Lineage: Eukaryota; Viridiplantae; Streptophyta; Magnoliopsida; Poales; Poaceae. The record is from RefSeq and is a predicted model, not a curated record. The transcript has 8 exons.